ACCACUAACGCAUUUCACCUUAUGUAAAGGCUUUUUCAAAAUGUUUUGAAAAGCCUUUACAUAAGGUGAAAUGCAUUAGUGAU
Non-coding RNA from Pelobates cultripes (western spadefoot toad), 83 nucleotides. Lineage: Eukaryota; Metazoa; Chordata; Amphibia; Anura; Pelobatidae. The record is from the annotation of a GenBank genome assembly.